UUAAGUAAAUAUUAAUUGUACAUUUGCACCAAUUUUUACAUGGCAUUUUCACACUAAGAAUGCCACGUGCAAAAUUAUAUACAGGAACAAUUCUGAACAAAUAUAUGCAAGUGAGUUGUAAAUUUGAUAUGUAAUGCAUACAUUACAAAAACCCAUGACAGUGUUCACUAAAAUGAAAUGUAUGGACUCUUAUAUAAAUACUUGGUAUAUGUGAUAUGGAUAUUAUGGAUGAUAUUUUUGAGAAUGACACAAGUAAUGAAAUUUUUCAGCAUUGAAUUGGAUUCUUGAACCAGAGCCAUGUGAACCUGGUCCACCUGUACCUCUCAUUGAAGACCUGUUAACAUCACCAGAGUAUGUUCAUUCUGAUACCCCUAUGGUAUGGUUACAGCAUGCAUUAUCCCUGAAUCCAUUAAAAGAGCUGCAUUGGCAAUGAAACAACCCAAUGUGGUCGAUUGUAAGGAAACAUAGCAUAUCAGCUUCCAACUUUGGUGCAGUUCUCAGUUCUAAGCAAAGGCGAUUGACAUUGUCACUGAAGAAACAGCUGAUGUCGGCUUACAAUCUGGAGUCCAUCAAGGCUGUUGCAUGGGGUAUCACUCAUGAAGAUGAUGCUUUGAGAAAGUAUGAAAAGGACUUUGAUGCAGCUGUAGAGCGGUCAGGAUAUGGUUGCAUGAAUCCGUAGUGUUGGGAGCUUCACCUGAUGGCUUAGUUGUUCGACCACCAACAUGCAGUGUAUUUUAUCAAACUCCAGAAGCCAAAGACGCCAUUCCUGAUAUUGUAGAGGUGAAGUGUCCAUAUACAGCAUCGUCUUCAACAGUAGCAGAUGGGGCACAAAAUUUGAAGGAUUUUUCAUAGAUCUUAAACAAGAUACCCUGUGCCUGAAAACCAGUCACCCG
Long non-coding RNA from Saccostrea cuccullata (small rock oyster), 893 nucleotides. RefSeq lists it as uncharacterized. NCBI's taxonomy places the organism in Eukaryota, Metazoa, Mollusca, Bivalvia, Ostreida, Ostreidae. The record is from RefSeq and is a predicted model, not a curated record. The transcript has 4 exons.